UACGUAGGUGGCAAGCGUUGUCCGGAAUUACUGGGCGUAAAGCGCACGUAGGCGGCUUUGUAAGUUAGAGGUGAAAGCCUGGAGCUCAACUCCAGAACUGCCUUUAAGACUGCAUCGCUUGAAUCCAGGAGAGGUGAGUGGAAUUCCGAGUGUAGAGGUGAAAUUCGUAGAUAUUCGGAAGAACACCAGUGGCGAAGGCGGCUCACUGGACUGGUAUUGACGCUGAGGUGCGAAAGCGUGGGGAGCGAAUGGG
RNAcentral lists this ribosomal RNA (253 nucleotides) under uncultured bacterium. RNAcentral describes it as "partial 16S ribosomal RNA". It matches the Rfam family "Bacterial small subunit ribosomal RNA", at positions 524 to 776 of the family's 1533-position model. The record is from RNAcentral.